RNAcentral lists this transfer RNA (67 nucleotides) under Xorides funiuensis. RNAcentral describes it as "tRNA-Phe". Lineage: Eukaryota; Metazoa; Arthropoda; Insecta; Hymenoptera; Ichneumonidae. The record is from RNAcentral.
AUUUAAAUAGCUUAAAAUUUAAAGCUUAAUAUUGAAGAUGUUAAAAUGAUUGUAUAAUCUUUAAAUA